AACGUAGGUCCCGAGCGUUAUCCGGAUUUACUGGGCGUAAAGCGCGUUCAGGCGGUGGGCUAAGUCAGGCAUGAAAUCUCACGGCUCAACCGAGAGAGGCUGUCUGAGACUGGCACACUUGAGGGCAGUCGAGGGUGGUGGAAUUCCGGGUGUAGUGGUGAAAUGCGUAGAGAUCCGGAGGAACACCAGUGGCGAAAGCGGCCACCUGGGCUGUACCUGACGCUGACACGCGAAAGCUAGGGGAGCGAACGGGAUUAGAAACCCCGGUAGUCCUAGCCGUAAACGAUGUUGACCAGGUGUCGGCGGUCUAAACCCCGUCGGUGCCGGCGCUAACGCACGAAGUCAACCGCCUGGGGACUACGGCCGCAAGGUUAAA
This 376-nucleotide ribosomal RNA is filed under the name uncultured bacterium. RNAcentral's name for it is "bacterial SSU rRNA". It matches the Rfam family "Bacterial small subunit ribosomal RNA", at positions 524 to 898 of the family's 1533-position model. The record is from RNAcentral.